UUUAGACAUGGCUACUUUUAAUGCUAACCACCCUCAAUCAGGAUAAAAAUCCUCUAUUAUUCUUAAUCUUGCAAUUCCAUGUCAUUCCACCUGCAAAAUUUGAAACGUGGCCAACUUUAAGUGAAUGGCCCAUAUGCUUUCUUGGUUGAAUCUUCACCAAAACUUGGUUAGAAGUUAAUUGAACCGGUCCGCGUGAAGAAUCAAACCACAUCGGUUCGUGAUUUGAAUUAGGUUAUCCAAAUGACCUAUCUCGCAUGACACUCUCUCUCUCUCACCCCUCGCUCUGUCUCUCAGACCUCUCACUGCUGAACGAAGGAUUUUCUCUGGUUUGUGCUUCAUCGAAGCUCGGUAGAGGUAGAGGUUGUUUUCGUACGAAGGAGAAGCUCCUAUCAACAAGGUUUUCUUGCUCUUUGUUACUCUCAAUCGGUUUUCUCUCUCUCUUUUGCUGCUCACGAAGCUUCCUGCUGCUACUAUCUCUUUUGUCUGGGUUUGAUUUCUCUCGCGCCGAAGCUCUUGGAUAGUGUUGUUACCUGGUUAGGGUUUGAUUUUAAGCCAUUCUUUGAUAGGGUUUGACUCAAAUCGUUGGCAGGAAGCCAGCUAGUAUGGAAAUCCAAGGGAUAAUGUUGGGGGUGCAAGAGCUGUCCCAAAAAUCUGGGUGACAACAUGUAUUACAACAGACCAUUGAUUGGAUCAGGACUGCCCGGUAUUACAGCAUUCAUUUAUAAAACCCAACUGCUUCUUCAUUCAUGUAUUACAACAUGAAUCACUGCCUUGUGUUAGAGCAGACCAUUUAUUGGAUUUUGUUAAUAUUACUAUUCUAAUUAAACAAAGUCAUGUGUUAAAUUAA
Molecule: long non-coding RNA, 847 nt
Organism: Macadamia integrifolia
Lineage: Eukaryota; Viridiplantae; Streptophyta; Magnoliopsida; Proteales; Proteaceae
Exons: 2
Source: RefSeq, a predicted model, not a curated record